UGGGACAGGUCAGGUGCUGGUGUUUGCUGCGGAGUUGCCGGAUGGCGGUGCGCUCUCCGGCCUGAGGGGUCCGGAGGCGCCGGGCUUCCGCUGUGUGCUUUGCAGUGACGUGUCUGCGCGGUGCAAAGAUGUUUUGAAAGCCCAUUUGACCUUCAAAGGCAAGAGGAGAAUUAUAUGGCAUCCAGGAAUAAGAAACCGCCACUCCGGUUGCCCCAAAUGCUGCCUUAGCGGUCAUCAUAGAAGCCAGAGGAGCAGGGAUUGUGCUGCGCUCUUCCCACUGUGGCCCAGCAGCCGGCAGCGUCGGCCUGGCUCCGGUGCUCCUCAGACAUUCUCCAUCUCAGUUGCCACCCCGGGUCUGUGGAAUCCUAGUCUGCACUUGGACCUGAUGGACAGGAGCAUCCUGUACGUGUUAAAUUGAACUGCACAGAUCCAUACAGUUCUGAAGCGAAGAAAGCUGUAAUGCAGUGUUUACACACCCAGCCAACCACUUUCCCUCGCAUAAAUGCAACAGAUUUAACCUUCUCAGAGCUGAAAGAACUAAGGCGGGGUUCUCAACCCAGGCUGCUGCCUUGAACCUGGCAGCUUUCUUGGUUUCCCUCGCCCCCCCUUACAAAGCUCCUUUGUACAUAAGGAUGAUCAAGGAUCUUUAGAGAGAAUGCUAUUGCAUGGAUCCUGCCCCUUGGACCUCCUGAUUGAAUCGAUCUAGGAUGAUGCAUGGAGUUCAGUAGUUUGUCGGACGCUCCCAGGGUCAUUGCGAUAUGUGGCCAAGGGUGAGAAUCCUGGAACCAAAGGAAACCAGAUCCAUGAACCCUUCUUGAAAAGAGUCCACAUGGAUAGACAUCAGACAACAAAGAAAUGACUCAAACUAAACAGGAGUGAAGGCUUGGCAGGAUAUUCGUGCUCUGCUCAGAUUCCAGAUCACUACGCUGCAGUCAGGACGAUGUCUGCAAGCAGAGUGCCAGGGCCAUCAUGGGGCUCCCUCUAAGGUUUCCCUGCUUCAGGGAUCGAUUGCAGACUUGCGCCGCCCAUGCUCCAACGUCUGUGAGCUCUCGCCUUACGUUCUGUCCAGUUUUACAGGUUUCCUUUUAGCCAUUUCGAAGUAGUAAUGCAUUUGCAAUAUGCAGUACUUUACCCAUAGUCAUCCUGCUACGCAGUGCAUCUCAGAACCUUACCUCUGCUGUCUGGCUGGAACCUGGUGCUCUGUGACCAGCAUCUCCCCACUGCCGCCCAGCCCGAGCCUCUGCUAAGCACCGUUCUAGCCUCUGUUGACUUAUUUCAUGUAGUAUAAUGUCCUCCAGAUUCAUCCGUGCCAUCACAAAUGACAGAAUCCCUUCUUUUUAAAGGCUGAAUAAUAAUACAAUCCCAUCAAGGUGGCAUGUACCAAUGCCAUCUCAUAGUCCAAGUGAUCAAUUUCAGUUCACAAUUGAUCACACUGAUAGGUCUAAGAGUCAAAGGGAUCACACAAACAAGACUAGUGUCUGCUAGUACUGAGUGAUAGAAUCAAAAAGGGAAGCGGGAUACACAGCAGACUCAUAGAAUGGCAGAUGUCCUAAAUAGCACUCUGUCCUCAGAAUCAGCCCUUAAGGCAUUCGGAUAUGGCUGAAGAGUCCAUGAGAGUAUUUUAGGCAUGGAAAGCCAAGACACUCUGGAAAAAAAAAAAAAAAAAAGACCUAAAUGGAAGAUCUCCGCGAGUGAGAUCCCAGUGGAAAGAACGGGGCCAUCAAAGAAGGAGGUACCUUUCUCUGAAGGGAGGAGAGAACUUCCACUUUGACUAUGACCCUGUCAGAAUAAGAUCGAAGUUGGUGAACUCAAAAGGCUUCCAUAGCUUUGGCAACUCAUGACUAGAGCCUAGGGAGAUUACUGACGCCAUAAACAAGAGUGUCAAAUUGUUAAGUCAACAAUAGGAGUCACUGUGUACUUACUCCUCAUGUGGGAUCUGUCCUUAGUGUGUUGUCCAAUGUGAAGUAAUGCUAUAACUAGUACUGAAACAGUAUUUUACACUUUGUGUUUCUGUGUGGGUGCAAACUGAUGUAAUCUUUACUUAAUAUAUACUAAAUCGAUCUUCUGUAUAUAAAGAUAA
Non-coding RNA from Oryctolagus cuniculus (rabbit), 2080 nucleotides. Lineage: Eukaryota; Metazoa; Chordata; Mammalia; Lagomorpha; Leporidae. The record is from RefSeq and is a predicted model, not a curated record.